This 1526-nucleotide long non-coding RNA is filed under the name Heterocephalus glaber (naked mole-rat). RNAcentral describes it as "lncRNA (ENSHGLG00000033975.1)". The record is from RNAcentral. Lineage: Eukaryota; Metazoa; Chordata; Mammalia; Rodentia; Bathyergidae.
GCCCGGCCAUCUCACUUGCUCGUUUCCAGGAACUGGACACAGCCCCUGGGCAGGAUGGUCCCUGUCCCCGCCUGCUCUCCGCUCUUAAGUGGCUACUUAAUCUGUCGGUUCUCUGGCCGGGAGUUCGUUACAUCACGGAGCCAGCGAGCCCUGGAGGAGACACUGCCGCCAGGGAGGCAGAGUGGGGGGGGCAGGCACCGCCAGGCUGUGCCAGGCAGAGCCGGAGCCUGGCCCCUGCCUAGGCCUUGAGGAACAGGCCAUCCCAGCACACCCAGGGGACCAGGAACUGGGGCCCACACGUCCCCCGGAGGGGCUGCAGGAGCCUUCGAGGUCUGGUUCUCUGUUGGAGGUACAGGAGCCUAGGGCACUGAGACCCGGACUGCCUGCCACCCGGGCUGCAGUGCUGGCUUCCUGGGGAGGCCCGUGGUAUGCCUGGGAACCCGCUUUGAGGACCGCUCCACAGAGUGGGGACGUUUCCAAGGUCACGUGUGUGUGUGCCCAAGAGGACAUGGUCUCCCCGAGUCUUGGGCUCAGCCCUGGGCCUUUGCCUCUGAUGCUGCCCUGCUGGAGUCCCCAGGCCUGUACUCUGCCACCAGCCACAGCACCCUGGACCCCUCGCCUGACACCCAUUGUGUUUCUGGGGCGCCCGGCUCGCUGUCCACUGCAGGGCAGGACUGGACUCCCAGCGCGGUCCCUGCCUCAUCACCACAGCUGCCUGGGCACUCCCCCCAAUCUGCGUCCACUGGCCCUGCCUCUGGAUUGAACCAGAUUUGCUCGACAGAGCAGGUCACAGAUGGCUGAGCUCCAAGCACCACACUGAAUCCGCCCCAGUGACAGGACACGACGUGUUGCUGCACCUGUGCUGCCCCGGGUCCCCAUCCUGUCUGUCUCUUGGCACCAUUCCCUGGACCUCUCAGCGCUCAUAGGUUGAACAAUACGGUGCAGCCACUGUUUGUACGACACUGACACUGAACCAUCCAGGUGACUUCAGUGCACCGGGACACGUGUAUCUGUGCUCCGCUUUUUUUGUUUUUUGGUGCCUUGAAUCGAAGUCAGGACCUUGUGCUUGCAAGGCAGGCGUGGUGCCACUGAGCUACAUCCCCGGCCCUUCAGAAGGAGUUUGUGUGUGUGUGUGUGUGUGUGUGUGUGUGUGUGUGUGUGUGUGUGUGUGUGUGUGUGAGACUGGGGAUUGAACCCAAGGCCUUUAUUAUUUUUCAUUUUGACACAGGGUCUCACUAAGUUGCCUGGCUGGGCUAGAACUUUCAUUCUCCUAUCCUCCUGCCUCAGCCUCCUGGAGUUCUGGGACUGUGGGCGAAUGAAGGGCUUGAAUAUGCACAGGCUUUGGUGUCCGUGGGUCCUGGGCCUGGUCAUCCAUGGAUAGUUAGAAGCAACUGUGUCUGUCAUUUGAGGGUGUGUGGUGGAUCUCACCUGUCCCGACCCGCAGCCCAGCACCCUGAGGUAGAGCUCUGGGUCCUUCUUCCGUGGCCUCCCGGCCUGGCGCGGGAGGGGUCCGGAUGAGCAGGGCC